CGGGCGCAGCCACGGGAAGCCUCGCUCUGCUCUCCAGCGAUGCGCCCUGGCGCCCGGGCAGGGUGCCAUCUUUUAGGGACACCCAUUCCGGAACAAAGCAGGUGUCUGGCCAAUGAAAACACUCCAUCCUCAUGGUAAACCUGUGAGACAGACAUGACAUAAAGUUGUCCCAUUUGAUGAUGAAGGAAACAGAGGCUCCAAGUAGGUAACUGAUGCGCCCAGGAUCAUACAGAUUGUAAAGGAUGAAAACAGAACUCAAAUCCAAGGCUCUGAGAGACCUGGCCUCAUUAUCUCAUGCUACUGAACUGUCCCCUAUUCUAUAACUGGUGCAAUGAGAAACCCUGGGCUGCCCUCCAUGCAGGAGCAAGUCUUCUCCUCAGAGAGGAGUACAUAGACACUAUUAACAUCCCACAGGAAGUGGUGUUUGCACAGUGCUCCUUGAUUAACGAAUCUCCAGGGAACAAACCUUCUCUGUAGGAUGUGAGGCUGUGCUCAAAAAAACUUCAUAAAUCACGCAGCCACGCUACCUGGGCUGGCAGCGGCAUGCUGGCCACCCUCGGUGCAUGGCUCGUGUUUACAACCACCAUGCUGAAGGUGGUGAUGAGAACUGGAUCCUCCUCUUCUUAUUUUUCACAUCUGAUGAUUGGAAGAAUUUUCCAUGUAUUUCUCAAUGCAUUUUAGAAGGCCUCAGAAACACAGCCAGAUGAAUGUACGUCUUGAAAUACUAACACCCAAAACAGUGUCCUGCUUCCUGCUAUUACUAAAUGGUGAAUGAAAGCUACAGGCCACAUCCCUUCAGGUCCUAACGCCAUACGAGGGUGGAGGAGCACUGGUCACUCUGAGGAGACACCUGGCGCUGGAUAACAGCUGAAGGAGUUGGGCCCGAGGACGGGGCUGGACCUGAGAUGUGUCUUCAUGCAUCCGAGGGGCUGGCCUGAGCAAGAGCAGUUAGACCUGAGCUCUGAGGCCUCCUAGGAUCAGACACAGGGCCAACGGGUGAAAGACUCAAGAAAGUGAUUUCUACUGGUUCUCAGAAGGGAUUUUCUUACCGCCAGUAGAAUCAGCUCCUUGGCAGCCAGUGGGGCCACAGACUUCAUGGACAGGGCACUGACUUUGGAGUUUCUCUGGGUGUGUAUCUCGUUCUGACUCUUAUUAGCUGUAGGCCACAUGAAAGUCAUGCAAAGUGUCUGAGUCCCAGUUUCCUCAUCCAUAGAAAGGAGGGGGGAAAUUGAGGUAAGUACUUAUAAGGAUAUGAAAUAAUGUAAAGUGUGUGGAUAUGCGUAAAAUGCCAGGCAUAUGUCAGGAAGCCCGUAAAUGUUGGCUUCCCUGUUCCUUGCACCUGGAGUUACAUCAGAGAGGGUAUUAAAACUGCAUUGGUGGUCUGUUAAUUUUAAAGGCCUCAUCAGAAUCUGAGAGUCUUGUGAUUUUGUGACUUGAUGAAAUUGUCUGUGUGUCGGCGGGGGGGGGGGGGGGGGGGGAGACGUAGUGACGAGGUAAACAAAGCUCCAAGGAAAAAGCUGAUAAUUUGAAUAGGCUUAUCUGAAGUCUCUGGCUGUGAAUGAAGUAGGCUCUGUUUCUCUAAAGUGGCCACAGGUUGGCUGGGGAGGCCUUCAGCCCCUCCAGGGCCUCCUCAGUGUCUCUAAGACAACCCAGAUAAAUACACAGUCUAAGCCCAAAUUGUUUGCUUGCUGUGGAAAUUCACCAUCAACGUAAGUCCCCUACCUGCCCCUCACCCCGGUUCUUAAGCCCCUCUCAUGUAGAAAACUGGGGGCUCUCUUGUCCUAUAACUUAGUGAACUUGAUCAAUGUGAUGAGAACACUCUGAAGAUAAAAAUGCAUGUUCUGUUGUAGUCUUGCCAGUGGUUAAUGAUUCCAUGGAUGAGAGUCAGGUGUUAAGAAGCUACGUUUAGUUUUUAGGAUGCCAGUAUACCACUUCAUUCAUCCCCAGAGUCGGCUCACCUCCCAUGGCUCCUAAUGCUGGUUAUCCACAAGGAGAAGCAAGUACUUAGAACACGUAUCAUUGGGGUAGCAUUAGGAGAACCCAAGAAAAAUCAUCCUUCCCGUGAAAUGUUUUUUGAUCCUAGAGCAGGAUUGGUACUCUUUGCAGAACAGUAAACUAUCA
Molecule: long non-coding RNA, 2121 nt
Filed under: Equus asinus (donkey)
Lineage: Eukaryota; Metazoa; Chordata; Mammalia; Perissodactyla; Equidae
Description: lncRNA (ENSEASG00005031014.1)
Source: RNAcentral